UUAGUCAAAUCAUGUCUCCCCUAAUCACGCCUCCAUCGGCUCCAAGUUCGUCUUCUUCAUUUUGGAAACCAGAUGCCUAUUCAAAUUUAAAAUAAACCUUCUAUUCCUCCAUCAAUUUUUCUCCCGAAAUCAAAGAUAACAUAGAAUAUGAAUGCUGCCAAGAUUUUAAACCAUUUCAAGAUUUCAUCGUUUCAUAUGCAACAAUCGAACACAGCUACGGUCUCGCAGUUCUGAAUUAGAUUUCAAUGGGUUCUAUUGUGAAAUCAGAGGAGGGAUGGCGUGCAGUUCUAUUUUGAAUGGGAAGCUUCAUAUCAUUACACCAAGGAAGAUUCGGACAAAAUCGGAAAAGAUCGGAAAGAAAAAUCAUAAUACACUUAAAUCUUGAUGGGCAAAAUCAAAGUAGAUGAACAUUGAAUCAUAAAUCUAGUUAUGAUUCUCUUAUUAAGAUUAUAAAUGUGUGAAAACAGUUGCGAAAGGUAACUAGGAAAUCCUUCCUCUCUCUCUCUCUCACACACACUCUCUUCUGAUUGCACAGUUCACAACGGUUUUCAGAGCGAUUUCCGUUUGCGAGGUUUAUAGUGAUCGCUUGGUUGGUCGAAUAUGUUAGAGUCUGGGAUUGUGAUAAUCAAAUAACUUGGUUACUGAGAGGAUUUGAUAGACACUUCCCUUAAACUACAUUUUCACACUAUAUGCCUGAGUUGCACGGAAUUAUUUUAGGAUAAUGCAUACAAAUCAAUUAACUUCAAGUUUAGGCACAAAACUUGAAGUCCUUGCUAUAUUUGUGUAAAUUUAUGUAUAAAAUUAGUAUUUACAAUAAUAAUUUUGCAAUGGUUGAUCUCAUAUCCUAGCAUCUUUGAUAUUGUCUAACAACUCUUUCAGUCUUCCCAACAGUAAGAAUCUGUCAGAUUGCUUGGUAUGCUUUCUUUUAUCCCCUUAACUUCUUAACAUGUGGUUAUGGUUAUGAAUCACAAGGAUAUUAUUGAGAAGACGAUUGCUUAGGGAUAUUACUAUCGUGAACUUGAUCGAUUUGCCACCAAGUCACAAAAUUUAAGCUGGAUGGGGCCUAGGAAUGAGUCUCCUAUGCCAUACACUUCUGUCUUUCCAAAAGAGAAGAUGGAGAAUCAGAGUGUUUAUAGGAGGCCAAUUGCAAAUUGCAUUACAUAAAUUCUUUCGUUUUACAAAUCUGCCAUUUUGCAUAUAGAGCAGAAGUUACUAUCAGAUCAUCUACCCAUCUUAGCAACUGCUAAUGUGUUGUUCCAGGAUAUGUUGCCAGAAUAUACUCCAUUACAUAUGGCAGAAUCCAUUCUAUUUGCUGGAAAGGAAAUUAAGGUUCUUCGUAAUCCAAGUUCUGCAUUCCGUUCGGUAGAUGCAACACAUACAAAACUGAUGGGCGAUGAACUUCUGCGAUAGUCUGAAGCUGAUAAGAUCGAAUCCAUGCUUCAAAAUCUGAAGGAAUCAUCCAAGUUUCACAAAAGAUCAUUUGAGGAUGCUGUUGAUUCGAUCAGGGCUAUUGCAGCAAGUCAUCUUUGGCAGCUUGUGGUUGUAUGUGAUGAUCUAAAUGGGCAUUUGAAGGCCAUCAAAGAUUACUUCCUGCUUGCAAAAGGUGAUUUCUUCCAGGAUUCAACAAAAUGUGUGUUGUAGUUCUGAGAUAGGAUCCGGGAUUUAAUCGGGUAACUGUUGAGUGAAAGACCGAGGUUUGAAAACCCAAGUUUCUUUCAAUUUACUUUUGUGCUCUUUUAAUUCAUUUAUUUGAUUUAUACACUAGAAAAUGGAGUACUUUAUUUCCUCUUGGAAUAUUUUUCUAUUUUUUAUUUAAUUUUAUGAGAA
Lactuca sativa (garden lettuce) is the source of this 1827-nucleotide long non-coding RNA. RefSeq lists it as uncharacterized. Lineage: Eukaryota; Viridiplantae; Streptophyta; Magnoliopsida; Asterales; Asteraceae. The record is from RefSeq and is a predicted model, not a curated record.